Molecule: ribosomal RNA, 481 nt
Filed under: uncultured bacterium
Lineage: Bacteria
Description: partial 16S ribosomal RNA
Rfam family: Bacterial small subunit ribosomal RNA
Source: RNAcentral
GAUGAACGCUGGCGGCGUGCUUAACACAUGCAAGUCGAACGAAACACCUUAUUUGAUUUUCUUCGGAACUGAAGAUUUGGUGAUUGAGUGGCGGACGGGUGAGUAACGCGUGGGUAACCUGCCCUGUACAGGGGGAUAACAGUCAGAAAUGACUGCUAAUACCGCAUAAGACCACAGCACCGCAUGGUGCAGUGGUAAAAACUCCGGUGGUACAGGAUGGACCCGCGUCUGAUUAGCUGGUUGGUGAGGUAACGGCUCACCAAGGCGACGAUCAGUAGCCGGCUUGAGAGAGUGAACGGCCACAUUGGGACUGAGACACGGCCCAAACUCCUACGGGAGGCAGCAGUGGGGAAUAUUGCACAAUGGGGGAAACCCUGAUGCAGCGACGCCGCGUGAGUGAAGAAGUAUUUCGGUAUGUAAAGCUCUAUCAGCAGGGAAGAAAAUGACGGUACCUGACUAAGAAGCCCCGGCUAACUACGUG